Molecule: ribosomal RNA, 341 nt
Filed under: uncultured Bacteroidales bacterium
Lineage: Bacteria; Pseudomonadati; Bacteroidota; Bacteroidia; Bacteroidales
Description: bacterial SSU rRNA
Rfam family: Bacterial small subunit ribosomal RNA
Source: RNAcentral
AGAGUUUUGAUCAUGGCUCAGGAUGAACGCUAGCUACAGGCUUAACACAUGCAAGUCGAGGGGCAGCAGAUCGAAAGCUUGCUUUUGAUGCUGGCGACCGGCGCACGGGUGCGUAACACGUAUCCAAUCUACCCAUGGCUCAGGGAUAGCCUUUCGAAAGAAAGAUUAAUACCUGAUGGUCUCACAUGAAGACAUCUUUUUGUGAGUAAAGAUUUAUCGGCGAUGGAUGAGGAUGCGUCUGAUUAGAUAGUAGGCGGGGUAACGGCCCACCUAGUCGACGAUCAGUAGGGGUUCUGAGAGGAAGGUCCCCCACAUUGGAACUGAGACACGGUCCAAACUCC